RNAcentral lists this long non-coding RNA (211 nucleotides) under Nicotiana benthamiana. RNAcentral describes it as "long non-coding RNA (NBEN_LNC024148)". Lineage: Eukaryota; Viridiplantae; Streptophyta; Magnoliopsida; Solanales; Solanaceae. The record is from RNAcentral.
UAGGAGUCCUUACUGGAAAAGUCAAGGAAAGAACCUUUGAGUAGCACAUAUUAUGUCACCAUUUGUACAAUCAAGCAGAAAGCUUUUCUUGAAAUGGGGAAAAUAUGGAUUGAAGUCGACUUGAUUUCCGCCACUCUACGACCUUUCUUUGCCUUCCACCAAGAGUUGUUCUUGAACAAGAUGACGAAGUUUAGGGUUGAGCAACUUGAAG